RNAcentral lists this long non-coding RNA (331 nucleotides) under Durio zibethinus. RNAcentral describes it as "long non-coding RNA (DZIB_LNC001978)". Lineage: Eukaryota; Viridiplantae; Streptophyta; Magnoliopsida; Malvales; Malvaceae. The record is from RNAcentral.
AUUAGAUGUCUUUGGGAAGUCUGUAAUGACACCAUCAAUACCAGCUAAAGUGUAGAAGGAAUUGAUCUCAACAGUUGCAUCAGAUAAGUAGUCCCAUGCUUGAGAUACGAACUCAUUACUGAAGGUUUGAACAUAUACAGAGAGAUUAGCAUUAUGUAGCCUCGGGACAACAUCCGUAACACCAGUGAGGAAUGCUGUAUUUUCAGGAAAGACAGAGUCCUUGCUGAUGACCACAGCGCUAGCAAAUCUCUUAAUGUCGUCAAUUGCUGGACUGUCAGCACCACCAAUAUCUUCAUCAACCUUGUAGACAAGUUUAUAGUUGGUUUUAGUC